GGGGGUAUAGCUCAGUGGUAGACCACCCGCAUACGUAUCGGAAGGUCGGGGGUUCGACUCCCUCUGCCUCCA
Molecule: transfer RNA, 72 nt
Filed under: Pristionchus pacificus
Lineage: Eukaryota; Metazoa; Nematoda; Chromadorea; Rhabditida; Neodiplogasteridae
Rfam family: tRNA
About the family: Transfer RNA (tRNA) molecules are approximately 80 nucleotides in length. Their secondary structure includes four short double-helical elements and three loops (D, anti-codon, and T loops).
Source: Rfam by way of RNAcentral